Molecule: small nuclear RNA, 23 nt
Filed under: Arabidopsis thaliana (thale cress)
Lineage: Eukaryota; Viridiplantae; Streptophyta; Magnoliopsida; Brassicales; Brassicaceae
Description: snRNA_10890
Source: RNAcentral
UAAAAUUACAAAAUAGAUGAGUU